Molecule: non-coding RNA, 120 nt
Filed under: Marivirga sericea
Lineage: Bacteria; Pseudomonadati; Bacteroidota; Cytophagia; Cytophagales; Marivirgaceae
Description: SAM-I sequence
Rfam family: SAM riboswitch aptamer (S box leader)
About the family: The SAM riboswitch is found upstream of a number of genes which code for proteins involved in methionine or cysteine biosynthesis in Gram-positive bacteria. The SAM riboswitch acts at the level of transcription termination control.
Source: RNAcentral
UACUUAUCCAGAAAGACUGAGGGAUUGGGCCCUUUGAAGUCUUAGCAACCCUUCCAAUGCAUUUGCCAAAGGAAAAGGUGCUAACUCCCAUCCGGACAAAUAGUCUGGUAAAGAUAAGAA